UCUAAUAUGGCAGAUUAGUGCAAUGAACUUAAGACUCAUACAUAAAGUAAAACUUUUAUUAGAA
RNAcentral lists this transfer RNA (64 nucleotides) under Aradacanthia heissi. RNAcentral describes it as "tRNA-Leu". Lineage: Eukaryota; Metazoa; Arthropoda; Insecta; Hemiptera; Aradidae. The record is from RNAcentral.